RNAcentral lists this ribosomal RNA (578 nucleotides) under uncultured bacterium. RNAcentral describes it as "bacterial SSU rRNA". It matches the Rfam family "Bacterial small subunit ribosomal RNA", at positions 102 to 676 of the family's 1533-position model. The record is from RNAcentral.
ACGGGUGAGUAAUGUCUGGGGAUCUGCCCGAUAGAGGGGGAUAACCACUGGAAACGGUGGCUAAUACCGCGUAACGUCGCAAGACCAAAGAGGGGGACCUUCGGGCCUCUCACUAUCGGAUGAACCCAGAUGGGAUUAGCUAGUAGGCGGGGUAACGGCCCACUUAGGCGACGAUCCCUAGCUGGUCUGAGAGGAUGACCAGCCACACUGGAACUGAGACACGGUCCAGACUCCUACGGGAGGCAGCAGUGGGGAAUAUUGCACAAUGGGCGCAAGCCUGAUGCAGCCAUGCCGCGUGUAUGAAGAAGGCCUUCGGGUUGUAAAGUACUUUCAGCGGGGAGGAAGGCGAUAAGGUUAAUAACCUUGUCGAUUGACGUUACCCGCAGAAGAAGCACCGGCUAACUCCGUGCCAGCAGCCGCGGUAAUACGGAGGGUGCAAGCGUUAAUCGGAAUUACUGGGCGUAAAGCGCACGCAGGCGGUCUGUUAAGUCAGAUGUGAAAUCCCCGGGCUUAACCUGGGAACUGCAUUUGAAACUGGCAGGCUUGAGUCUCGUAGGGGGGGGUAGAAUUCCAGGUGU